This is a long non-coding RNA of Oncorhynchus keta (chum salmon), 4603 nucleotides long. RefSeq lists it as uncharacterized. The record is from RefSeq and is a predicted model, not a curated record. NCBI's taxonomy places the organism in Eukaryota, Metazoa, Chordata, Actinopteri, Salmoniformes, Salmonidae. The transcript has 5 exons.
CCAGAGCGACUUAGUAUUCGGUAGCAUUGCCUUUAAAUUGUUUAACUUGGGUCAAACAUUUUGGUUAGCCUUCCACAAGCUUCCCACAAUAAGUUGGGUGAAUUUUGACCCAUUCCUCCUGACAGAGCUGGUGUAACUGAAUCAGGUUUGUAGGCAUCCUUGUUCGCACACGCUUUUUCAGUUCUGCCCACAAAUUUUCUAUAGGCUUGAGGUCAGGGCUUUGUGAUGGCCACUCCAAUACCUUGAUUUUGUUGUCCUUAAACCAUUUUGCCACAACUUUGGAAGUAUGCUUGGGGUCAUUGUCCAUUUGGAAGACCCAUUUGCGACCAAGCUUUAACUUCCUGACUGAUGUCUUGAGGUGUUGCUUUGAUAUAUCCACGUAAUUUUCCUUCCACGUUUUUUUGUCUUAUUUCUUGUUUGUAUCACAAUAAAAAUAUUUUGCAUCUUCAAAGUGGUAGGCAUGUUGUAUAAAUCUAAUUAUACAACCUCCCCCCAAAACAUCUAUUUAAUUCCAGGUUGUAAGGCAACAAAAUAGGAAAGAUACAAAGGGGGUGAAUACUUUUGCAAGCCACUAUAGCUGCUUUAUGUCCUUCCAAAUUCACACACAAAAUGUGCCUCUACAUGCAGACCCGCCCAUUGGAAAAAAGACAACAUAAAUAAUAAAGAAUUGUUAAAGAAAUAUUUUCACAAUUUCUCCACCCUCAACAUGACAAGAAUAGGGCGACAGAGUAGGGAGACGCUUUGAAGUCACAUUCCAACCUGCCUCACCAUAAUUACACACAGUAGUCAUUAUGGCCUCAAACACUUACAUGGCGGUCAAGGUUAAGGGGCCAGGGGCUCCUUGUUCUCUUCUCACACAGACACUUAGGAGACGUGUCCCUCUGAAGGUGGUUCUAUGUACAGUGGGACAACCCUGAGACAAUAUGCAGUUGACAUCCUGCAAAUAAAACUACAAAAACAUGUGACCUCUGAAUAAACUAAUCUCUAAUCAAAUUGCUAGAAUUGCAUGAAGCAAAAAUACAAUUUGCUCUAGAGAAAUAAAGAGUUUAUUGUUGAGAUAUUCCUUUACAGAUGAUUUCAUCCUAGCGAUGGUCAUGUCCCCCAUUAUGUGAAUAUUUUGGUGUUUGCUAUCAUGGCAUAAGAUGACUUGAAAUUACAGAUGACUUGAAAUAAUAAUUGUUGGAAUUAAUAUGGUUCUUGUACACACAAAAAGUACACAAAUCGUGUAAAUCAUUCCUUGUAAGGGAAGUGUGUCUUCAAGUACAAGAUCUGCAAAACCUUGACUGCCCUCCAGUGGUUACCUUGGAAAAGAACACAUCUACCACUAACAGAGUUUAAAAGGUAGUCACAAUGAUUGAAGCAAGAAACAUUAAACCAUCAAUUUGUUUGCUAUGAUAAUACUAUAUUAUGCACAGACCUUUGGUAUCUGUGUAUUUCAAACACACAGUAGUUCCUUUCCUCGUACACAUGUAAUACACAGAAUGCAGGAAGUAUUUUGACGGGAGAUGACACACAGCACAACACUGUAACAGUCUGCUCUUGCUGCAACCUCGUUUUGUUUGCUUGUUCUGUUCAACUAAGGGCAAAGUACAUGACACAGGAGCUAUAUUGCUUGUUAAUAUCAACAUUUCAGAGCGGUUACUGAAGGAGAUGAGGACAUCCUUUAGUUUAUAGUAUUUUGUAGCUGCUACAAAACAGGGGUUAAACUCAAGACUGCAUUGAACCCUCUUAAGGAUAAACUGAGGCUCUUUAAGGGAGUCAAACUCACCUGUGAUAAUACAGCAAAACAUAUUGAGGGAAGAUCGUGCCCUACAGGAAGACUGAGGUGAAGCAAUUUUGAUUGGAUGCCAUGAGGGAGGAAAUAGUAUGAAUAAUGACAGAAAGAACCAGCAAGUUAAAUUGGUGACAGAAAAUUAUAACAGGAGAGAUACAGUAUGUCUGAGAUAUUCCUUGCACUCUCUCCAGAUCCAAGACCAGGAUACAGAGAGGCAGAUUAAGGGGCAGUUUAAAAAACUGUACCUGUUUUUGCAAGAGGAAGAUAGAUGGAUAGAUGCAGUGAGAAUGGAAGAGGUGCGGGAGAGUCAGGUGAUGAAACACAAGAUAACAGAGAUGAGCAGAGAGAUAUCAUCACUUUCAUACACAAUCAAAGCCACCUAACAACAGCUGAGCAUUGAAGACAUCUCAUUCUUGCAGAACUACUAAGCCACAGAGACAAGAGCCAAGCAAACACUGCCAGAUCCAAAGAGGGUUUCAGGAGCGCUGAUAGACGUGGCCAAACACCUGGGCAACCUGCAGUUAAGAGUCCGGGAGAAGAUGAAGGGGAUGGUCCAAUACUGUAAAUACGUUUCCAUCCACAAUUUGUUCGUGCGACAUGAUGGGAUCUUUUUGUGUCUGUAAAAUGUAUUAUGCGACACAUAGCGGUGGAAACGAUUUCUUGCGCAAUUGUUGGUAGAAUAACCAUCAUAUCGAGGUAAAUGUGCAGUCACGCGAUGCUAUGUUGUGUGCGACUUGGAAAAGCAUGCACAGUUUAAGCUACGUGAUGAUGAAAGUACACAGUGAUGAGCUUGAUGCUGCUUUCCAACAAAAAUUGAGGGUAUUAUUUGUAUGCUAGUGACAUAAUGAUCUUGCUUUUAUCUCAUCAUAUAGCCUAUAACUUGUCCAGUGUACACUUUAUCAGCGAACUGUUGUCUAGAGAGCAUGUGCGAAAAAAUAGAUUGGGCAAGUUUGCCAUUUAUCGCGACAGUUUGUGGCAAAACUACUGGUAGAGUCGAAAAUACAAUGGUAACACAUUAAACUCGUGUUUAAACCCGCAACAAAGUCAGGGGGCGUUUCUCUGCCCAUGUGUUGUUGAUGGAUGCCAAAUCUUACAACAGCUGGAUGGGUAUUGUAAGUAUUAGCUAACCAUAUCAUACGUUAUAGCAAUCUGUCACCCGAUAAAAUGGUCCAUGACGUAGUACGCAACCAUAGGUUUAUGCAUGAAACGUCUGAACGGGGGACGCGGCCUCGGUCUGGUGCAGAGUAUGUGAGCGGAGCGGAGCUUGGAGCAAGGAGUGAUUUUUUAAAAUGUUUUAUUAUAUUAUUCGCAUGAAAAUCUGUCGCAAAUUGGAUGGAAACCUAGCCACUGAGUAAUGUUUUGCAGCAAAAAACAACAGUAGGUUUCAUCUGCACCUUGUUCUUAGUCCUAGGACUGUAAUCAGCAUAAUUCAUAUUAAUUCUAGUAGUGACCCCCAUACUGUUAAAUUGCAUAAUUUCUCUAUUGCAAAACAAUGCUCAUAGGAAUUUAGAUAUGUAUCAAUGAAACUUGUAGUGAAUUUACAGAGUAAAUGGUAAAGUUAAAUGAUCUCUCCUUAGCUCCUGUAAUCAUGGAUCCCAACACUGCAGACACAGGUCUCAUCCUGUAACGAGGACUUGACCAGCAUGAGACAUUGUGAUAAAGCACUACAGCUCCCUGACAACCCAGAGAGGCUUCAUGGAUGUGUCCUAGGUUCUGAGGGUUAUAACUCAGGAACACACAGCUGGGACGUAGAGAAUUCUGAUGGUUCCUAUUGGGCUGUAGGUGUGGCCACAAAUAAUCCCAAAAGAUCUAGUUGGUCUAGAUCUAGCAGUAUGCCAUAUAAAUCCUAGGGUAUUUGGACUACCUGUGUUAGUCACUUCCUAGAAUUUUCCCAAAAGGAUCAUCUUGAAGUAAAGAGAAUGAUUAUUUCAGCUUUAAUUUCUUCCAUCACAUUCCCAGUGGGUCAGAAGUUUACAUACACUCAAUUAGUAUUUGGUAGCGUUGCCUUGAAAUUGUUUGACUUGGGUCAAACGUUUCGGAUAGCCUUCCACAAGCUUCUCACAAUAAGUUGGGAGAAUUUUGACCCAUUCCUCCUGACAGAGCUGGUGUAACCGAGUCAGGUUUGUAGGCUUCCUUGCUCGCACACGCUUUUUCAGUUCUGCCCACAAAUUUUCUAUAGGAUUGAGGUCAGGGCUUUGUAAUGGCCAAAUCAAAUCAAAUCCAAUGUUAUUUGUCACAUACACAUGGUUAGCAGAUGUUAAUGCGAGUGUAGCGAAGUGCUUGUGCUUCUAGUUCCGACAAUGCAGUCCAAUACCUUGAUGGCAUAAUGAAUUCCACCAAGUAUCAUAUCAGGCAAUUUUGGCUGACAAUUUGGUUGCCUCUACCAGAAGUCUGGGACUUGGCCGUAGGUGGACUUUCCAACAAGACAAUAUCCCAAAACAUACCUCAAGAUCCACACAGAAAUGGUUGUGACAACAAAAUCAAUGUUCUGCCAUGGCCAUCUCAGUCGCCGGACCUCAAUCCAAUCAAAAACCUGUGGGCUGAGUUGAAGAGGCCAGUUGAUAAGCGCAAACCCAAGAAUGUGAAGGAUUUUGAAAGCAUCUGCAUAGAGGAAUGGUCCAUAAUCCCUCCAAAUGUGUUCCUUAACCUUGUCAAACAUUACAGGAAAAGACCAUGCUGUUAUCCUUGCCAGAGGUGUUUGCACUAAGUACUAAAUGAGGAGUGCCAAUAAUUAUGAAACCUUGAUUUUGGUUAAAUGUAUUUUGUAUUUAAUCAUUGUAUGAUUGUGGUUGGUUCCACUGAAACAUUAAUAAAGUACAGUAUUUCUCA